AUGGAUAGAUGUCACGUGAGCGCCGCGUGCGAGUUGAACCUGAAACACUUCGUCCAACGCUUCGCGUGUCCCUCUUCGCCGCGGCGGCGCCCUCGCCGGCGUUGGCUCGCGAUGCGCCGCCUCCUCCGCCGCCGAAGCUUCAAGCCACCGCAGAGGAAAUGCCUACACGCGGCGUUCUCGACGGCGGCCUCCUCCGCGACGGCGACGGCGACGGCCGGGACCUGCGCCUACCGCCUGCUCGCGCUCCUCCGCGGCUGCGUCGCCCCUACCCACCUCCCGCUCGGCCUCCGAAUCCACGCGCGCGCCGUCACCUCCGGCCUCCUGGCGGCCGCCGACGGCCCCGCCGCGCUCCAGACGCGUCUCAUCGGCAUGUACGUCCUCUCGCGCCGCUUCCGCGACGCCGUCGCGGUCUUCUCGUCGCUGCCACGCGCCGCCGCCGCGGCGGCGCUGCCCUGGAACUGGAUCAUCCGCGGGCUCACCAUGGCCGGCCACCACCGCUUCGCCGUGCUCUUCUUCGUCAAGAUGUGGGCGCACCCCUCCGCGCCGCUCCCGGACGGCCACACCCUCCCCUACGUCGUCAAGUCCUGCGCCGCGCUCGGCGCGCUCUCCCUCGGCCGCCUAGUCCACAGCACCGCGCGGGACCUCGGGCUCGACCGCGACAUGUACGUCGGGAGCGCGCUGAUCAAGAUGUAUGCUGACGCUGGCCUCCUGGGCGGCGCGCGCGAGGUGUUUGACGAAAUGGACGAGCGGGACUGCGUCCUCUGGAAUGUGAUGAUGGACGGGUAUGUCAAGGCCGGUGACGUGACCGGCGCAGUGGGGCUGUUCAAAUCCAUGAGAGCGUCCGGUUGUGAUCCCAACUUCGCAACUCUGGCGUGCUUUCUCUCUGUGUGUGCCGCCGAGGCUGACUUGAUGUCGGGUGUGCAGCUCCACACCCUGGCGGUGAAGUACGGGUUAGAACCGACGGUGGCCGUGGCUAAUACGUUGGUGUCAAUGUACGGCAAAUGCCAGUGCUUGGAUGAUGCCUGGAGGUUGUUUGGUCUGAUGCCCAAGGACGACCUGGUAACCUGGAACGGGAUGAUAUCCGGGUGCGUUCAGAACGGGCUUGUCGACGAUGCACUGAGAUUGUUUUGUGAUAUGCAAAAGAGUGGUAUUCAGCCUGACUCAGUUACACUGGCAAGCUUGUUACCAGCUUUGACUGAUUUGAGCGGUUUUAAGCAGGGGAAGGAGAUGCAUGGCUACAUUGUCAGGAACUGCAUGCACGUGGAUGUCUUCUUGGUGAGUGCUCUGGUGGACAUAUAUUUCAAGUGCAGGGAUGUGAGGAUGGCACAGAAUGUCUUUGAUGCUACAAAGACCAUCGAUGUCGUUAUUGGUAGCACAAUGAUCUCGGGUUAUGUUCUUAACGGGAUGAGUGAAGCGGCGGUGAAAAUGUUCCGUUACCUAUUGGAACUGAGCAUCAAACCUAACGCUGUCGUGGUAGCUACCAUGUUGCCAGCAUGUGCUAGCAUGUCUGCUAUGAAGCUUGGUCAGGAGCUCCAUGGAUACGUUCUAAAAAAUGCAUAUGAAGGAAAGUGUUAUCUGGAGAGUGCAUUAAUGGACAUGUAUGCAAAAUGUGGUAGGCUUGACCUUAGUCAUUAUAUCUUCUCUAAUAUGCCUGCUAAGGAUGAUGUGACGUGGAACUCAAUGAUUUCAAGCUUCGCGCAGAAUGGGGAACCUGAAGCAGCUCUCGAUCUGUUUCGUCAAAUGAGUAUGGAAGGAAUAAAGUACAAUAAUGUGACCAUAUCUUCCAUCCUAUCAGCAUGUGCAGGCUUACCAGCUAUAUAUUACGGAAAGGAGGUUCAUGGUAUUAUCAUAAAGGGCCCCAUAAGAGCGGACGUGUUUGCUGAGAGUGCUCUCAUAGAUAUGUAUGGCAAGUGUGGAAACUUAGAAUUGGCUCUACGUGUUUUUAAAUUCAUGCCUGAGAAGAAUGAAGUCUCAUGGAAUAGUAUAAUCUCUGCCUAUGGGGCUCAUGGUCUUGUUAAAGAGUCAGUGAGUUUAUUAUCCCGUAUGCAAGAGGAAGGAUUCAAAGCAGAUCAUGUAACAUUCCUUGCUUUGAUAUCUGCUUGUGCUCAUGCUGGACAGGUUCAAGAAGGACUCCGGCUUUUUCGGUGCAUGACUGAGGAAUAUCAGAUUGCACCUCGAGUGGAACACUUAGCUUGCAUGGUUGGCUUAUAUAGCCGGGCUGGGAAGUUGGAUAAAGCCAUGCAGUUUAUUGCCGACAUGCCUUUCAAGCCGGAUGCUGGUAUUUGGGGUGCUCUUCUCCAUGCUUGCCGUGUGCAUCGCAACGUUGAACUUGCAGAAAUUGCUUCCCAAGAACUAUUCAAGCUGGAUCCUCAUAAUUCUGGCUAUUAUGUGCUCAUGUCCAAUAUCAAUGCUGUUGCUGGACGAUGGGAUGGUGUGUCAAAAAUGAGAAGAUUGAUGAAGGAUAAGAAAGUUCAAAAGAUACCUGGUUACAGCUGGGUAGAUAUUAACAAUACCAGCCAUUUAUUUGUUGCAGCAGACAAAAGCCACCCUGAUUCUGAAGAUAUUUACAUGUCUUUGAAGAGCCUUCUUCUAGAAUUAAAACAUGAAGGUUAUGUUCCCAGUGCAGACAUAUGUGAUAUGACGCAACCAGACAACAUUGACCAGGUAAUGGCAAUUUGAUUGCAAUGUUUCCGAAUGGAAGCUAUAUGAUGUGAUGGUGAAACAAUGAGAACUCCUUAUUGACAAAUUAUUGUACAGAGCAAAGCAAGCUUCUGAUGCAGUACAAUUAACAUUUGAUGUUUCCAUGUGAAAAAGUGGUUAACAUCGUGGUAUCAGUCUGCUGAAAGAAAAAAAACGUGAAAUACAUUAUACAUUCGGCUGAUGUUCUGGUUCAUAGUUUUUAAGCUUGAAUCUGAACAGGAGCAAUGUCGCAUGCUCAAGUUUGGCAUACUUUAUCUCAAGAUCAUUUUGGAAGCUUCUCGUAUCUGUGCAACAAGACUUUGGGGAUUUCUUGUCGCAUUGAGCAUUUUGUCCAAGAAUUGAAUGAACUGGCGAUCUUCAUGAGAAACCUGUGGAUUUCAAAAUCUACCGAUAUUAUCUUGGUCAUGCACCAUUACAGAUAAAGAGCAUUAAUAAAUAGGCAAACUCAUCAAAAGAAGGAACAUAUACAUGGUAUUUGUUCCUUCGGAGUAUUUUCAGAUCAUUUGGAAGCCUCUCACGCUGUAUCCGUGCAAGACUCUGGGGAUUUCUUAUCGCGUCCAGCAUCCUGUCCAGGAACUGAACGAACUGUCGAUCUUGAUGAGCAACCUGUGGAUCUGAAAACCUAUCGAGGGUAUCUUGAUCCUGCACCAUGAGGAGCAAAGCGCAUCGAUAAAUAGAUGAACUCUUCAAGAUAAGCAAUACGUUGGAGUAACAAACUAAUAACCAUGUACGGAAAAUAGAAGUGCAUAUCCAUUCAGAGGUAUGUACAGUGACCAUAUGUAGGUAACUGGAAUUUCAACAGUGCACUAGACACCUAACUUCAAAAGAAGAAAAAUCAGGGGUUCUCUUAUUAGAUCGGUGAAAGAAAACUGAGUUGAUUUCA
Lolium perenne is the source of this 3583-nucleotide RNA transcript. It is a transcript of the gene named pentatricopeptide repeat-containing protein At4g21300, with no coding region annotated. The record is from RefSeq and is a predicted model, not a curated record. NCBI's taxonomy places the organism in Eukaryota, Viridiplantae, Streptophyta, Magnoliopsida, Poales, Poaceae.